AUGCACGCUGGCGGCGUGCCUAAUCCAUGCCCGUCGAGCGAACAGACGAGGAGCUUGCUCCUCUGACGUUAGCGGCGGACGGGUGAGUAACACGUGGAUAACCUACCUAUAAGACUGGGAUAACUUCGGGAAACCGGAGCUAAUACCGGAUAAUAUAUUGAACCGCAUGGUUCAAUAGUGAAAGACGGUUUUGCUGUCACUUAUAGAUGGAUCCGCGCCGCAUUAGCUAGUUGGUAAGGUAACGGCUUACCAAGGCAACGAUGCGUAGCCGACCUGAGAGGGUGAUCGGCCACACUGGAACUGAGACACGGUCCAGACUCCUACGGGAGGCAGCAGUAGGGAAUCUUCCGCAAUGGGCGAAAGCCUGACGGAGCAACGCCGCGUGAGUGAUGAAGGUCUUCGGAUCGUAAAACUCUGUUAUUAGGGAAGAACAAAUGUGUAAGUAACUAUGCACGUCUUGACGAUACCUAAUCAGAAAGCCACGGCUAACUACGUG
RNAcentral lists this ribosomal RNA (496 nucleotides) under uncultured bacterium. RNAcentral describes it as "partial 16S ribosomal RNA". It matches the Rfam family "Bacterial small subunit ribosomal RNA", at positions 29 to 507 of the family's 1533-position model. The record is from RNAcentral.